GAAAUGCGAUAAGUAGUGUGAAUUGCAGAAUUCAGUGAAUCAUCGAAUCUUUGAACGCACAUUGCGCCCCUUGGUAUUCCAUGGGGCAUGCCUGUUCGAGCGUCAUUUGUGCCCUCAAGCUCUGCUUGGUGUUGGGUGUUUGUCCCGUCUCCGCGCGUGGACUCGCCCCAAAGUGAUUGGCAGCCAGCGUACUGGUCCCGGAGCGCAGCACAUGUCGCGCAAACGAGUGCCUUGGUACGGCGGCGUCCAUAAGCCCCUCUCUCACGCUCUUGACCUCGGAUCAGGUAGGGAUACCCGCUGAACUUAAGC
Molecule: unclassified non-coding RNA, 309 nt
Filed under: plant metagenome
Description: partial contains 5.8S ribosomal RNA, internal transcribed spacer 2, and large subunit ribosomal RNA
Rfam family: 5.8S ribosomal RNA (bases 1-105)
Source: RNAcentral